RNAcentral lists this ribosomal RNA (492 nucleotides) under uncultured bacterium. RNAcentral describes it as "partial 16S ribosomal RNA". It matches the Rfam family "Bacterial small subunit ribosomal RNA", at positions 29 to 507 of the family's 1533-position model. The record is from RNAcentral.
AGUGAACGCUGGCGGUAGGCCUAACACAUGCAAGUCGAACGGCAGCACAGUAAGAGCUUGCUCUUACGGGUGGCGAGUGGCGGACGGGUGAGGAAUACAUCGGAAUCUACUUUUUCGUGGGGGAUAACGUAGGGAAACUUACGCUAAUACCGCAUACGACCUACGGGUGAAAGCAGGGGAUCUUCGGACCUUGCGCGAUUGAAUGAGCCGAUGUCGGAUUAGCUAGUUGGCGGGGUAAAGGCCCACCAAGGCGACGAUCCGUAGCUGGUCUGAGAGGAUGAUCAGCCACACUGGAACUGAGCCACGGUCCAGACUCCUACGGGAGGCAGCAGUGGGGAAUAUUGGACAAUGGGCGCAAGCCUGAUCCAACCAUACCGCGUGGGUGAAGAAGGCCUUCGGGUUGUAAAGCCCUUUUGUUGGGAAAGAAAAGCAGCAGGUUAAUACCCCGCUGUUCUGACGGUACCCAAAGAAUAAGCACCGGCUAACUUCGUG